RNAcentral lists this unclassified non-coding RNA (343 nucleotides) under soil metagenome. RNAcentral's name for it is "partial contains 5.8S ribosomal RNA, internal transcribed spacer 2, and large subunit ribosomal RNA". The stretch from base 1 to 120 matches the Rfam family "5.8S ribosomal RNA", at positions 35 to 154 of the family's 154-position model. The record is from RNAcentral.
GAUGAAGAACGUAGCGAAAUGCGAUAAGUAAUGUGAAUUGCAGAAUUCAGUGAAUCAUCGAAUCUUUGAACGCACAUUGCGCCCGCUAGUAUUCUGGUGGGCACGCCUGUCCGAGCGUCAUUUCAACCCUCAAGCCCCCGGGCUUGGUGUUGGGGAUCGGCGAGCCUCCGCGCCCGCCGUCCCCUAAAUCUAGUGGCGGUCUCGCUGUAGCUUCCUCUGCGUAGUAGCACACCUCGCACUGGGAAACAGCGCGGCCACGCCGUUAAACCCCCAACUUCUGAACGUUUGACCUCGGAUCAGGUAGGAAUACCCGCUGAACUUAAGCAUAUCAAUAAGCGGAGGA